AUGCACGCUUGCGGCGUGCCUCAUCCCUGCCAGUCGAGCGAACAGACGAGGAGCUUGCUCCUCUGACGUUAGCGGCGGACGGGUGAGUAACACGUGGAUAACCUACCUAUAAGACUGGGAUAACUUCGGGAAACCGGAGCUAAUACCGGAUAAUAUAUUGAACCGCAUGGUUCAAUAGUGAAAGACGGUUUUGCUGUCACUUAUAGAUGGAUCCGCGCCGCAUUAGCUAGUUGGUAAGGUAACGGCUUACCAAGGCGACGAUGCGUAGCCGACCUGAGAGGGUGAUCGGCCACACUGGAACUGAGACACGGUCCAUACUCCUACGGGACGCAGCAGUAGGGAAUCUGCCGCAGUGGGCGAAAGCCUGACGGAGCGACGCCGCGUGAGUGAUGAAGGACUUCGGAUCGUAAAACUGUGUUAUUAGGGAAGAACAAAUGUGUAAGUAACUAUGCACGUCUUGACGGUACCUAAUCAGAAAGCCACGGCUAACUACGUG
This 496-nucleotide ribosomal RNA is filed under the name uncultured bacterium. RNAcentral's name for it is "partial 16S ribosomal RNA". It matches the Rfam family "Bacterial small subunit ribosomal RNA", at positions 29 to 507 of the family's 1533-position model. The record is from RNAcentral.